CCUGCUCUCCGCUGGCAAGUGGACAUCCUUCGAGAGCUCCCGGGCUGCCAGAGGGAUGUCUGACUGCCAGCUUAGGCCCAAUGCCCCAGGUAGCAGGCCUAAGCCAGCAGGUAGUCAUCCCUCGAGGGGUCCCAGACUGUGAGAGGGCACAGGCCAGGCUGAGGGAACCCCCCCCACCCCCCGAGUGCACAAAUUGUUGUGCACCAGGCCUCUAGGAAUAUAAUAAUGGCAAAUCAUUACAUAGCAUUGCCUAUGUGUCAGGAAUUGUUCUAAAGGUAUUACAUAAAAUAUCUCAUUUGAUUCUUACAAAAAUCCAAUGAGAUAAGUGUUAUUACUUUUAUUUUACUCAUGAGAAAACUGAGGCAAAGUCUGGGUUAAUGACCUUGUGAGUAGCAGAAGUUGAAUUAGGAGACUUUGACUGUCUGUGAACUCCAUGCCCUUAACCAUGAUGCUACAUAGAGAUAACCACAGAGACUUCCUGAUUUCUUUCAGGACCUGAUUUGUAAGACCACUGCUCUAACCAUUGGGCACAAGAGUAAGUGAGACUCAGCGAGGUGGAGUCACUUGCGUAGGGUCAUCCUGCCCCAGGUGUACAGCAGGGAUUCCAGCUCAGGUUGUUCUGGCUUCAAGGCCAGUGGUUUUUCCACUCUCUAUAGCUGCCUCCUUCAGCCGUUCGGCAGAUGAACAGGGUAAAUAAACAUGGCUGGGCCUUGGGGAUUUUAUAUCUUAAUUGGGAGACAUAACUAAUGUACCAAGGGCAACAGGAAAAAUCACAGACAGGGCUGAGAGGUAUGUUUGGGCUUCAAAGGAAGAGAAGGACCCUGAUGGCUAGAGAAGUCCAGAGGGCCUCUUGGAGGAGGCAGAAGGUGGCUGGGCUUCAGUGAUAGGCAGGAAUGGGAUGGCUGGGUGGGGAAGGGGUGAGGUGAGGAGGGCAUGACAGGGAAGGAUGAGGAGCAGGGCCACCCAGUGGUGCAGAGCAGGAGUUGAUGUCACCACAGGGAAGCUGCACCUUCACGCAGUAGGUAAUUGCUCCGUAUCUAGUAUCUUCUUUUU
This is a long non-coding RNA of Myotis daubentonii (Daubenton's bat), 1053 nucleotides long. RefSeq lists it as uncharacterized. NCBI's taxonomy places the organism in Eukaryota, Metazoa, Chordata, Mammalia, Chiroptera, Vespertilionidae. The transcript has 2 exons. The record is from RefSeq and is a predicted model, not a curated record.